UAGCUUCAAAGGUGCUGGUAGUGAAACACUGUAAUGUUAUGUUCCUAGAGAGGAACUACUACAGAAUUACUACUGUAUUACUAGCCUACUACUGUAUUCUAGAACCCACAUUACCUUCCCUUUACUGCAUAUCAAGCAGGUUAUCAGGUUAUAAACAGCAUGUCCUAUACUUUCACUCAUGGUGUAUUUCUUGUCUCUUGUCCAACCCAUCCUCACUAACAGCCUAGAGUGGAGGAGAAGCGUGAUUUCCUGUUUGGGGUUCUCUAUGGGAUGGCCCUGUACAACAACAACAUGGUGCACUUCCCCUUCACCAUGGCAUUCUUCAAGAAGCUGGUGAACAUCAAGCCCUCUUUAGAGGACUUGAGAGAGUUUAGCCCCAUUGAAGCAGGGUGAUGUGGGGUGACAUAGCGGUGGACCUCGUCACAAGUGCUAACAAGCAAGAUUAUAGCAAUAUUUACAACUGACAAAAUACAAGGAAGGAGUUUGUUGACACCUAUGUGAACUACAUCUUCAACCAGUCAAUAGAGAAGGUGUUUGAAGAGUUCAGGAAAAGCUUCUUCAAGGUGUGUGACAUGGACGUGGUGGAGUUCUACCAGCCAGAGGAACUGAGGAGAGUGUUGGGGAAGGAGAACGUCGACUGGGAAACGCUGAAACAGGUCAGAACCAUGUGUUGUUACUACAUGACUGAAGCUCAGUCCCAACUCUGUCCCUAGCCAAUUGUCUUCAUCUGAGAGCAUUAGACAAGUAAAAACAUAUAAGAUAUGGUGAAAAUGUCACCUAGCCUGUCAGAGAGCAAGAAGGAGCCUAAAAAAAACAAGUGUCCUUGGGGUUGAUUUGAGAUUCAUGGUGAACAUGUUCUGUGUAACACAUUCUGCAACCUGGCUAAAAUGUUGUUUUUAAUACAUUGAUUUGACAAAUGGUUUGAAUCGUGUCAAGUGUCUAUUGCUUCACCAUAUUAUGGGCAUCCCAACAUCAUCACACUCUGGGAGGUGUUUGAGGAACUGACAGGAGAUUAAAAGAACGCUUUCAUGUGUAAGUGUGCAACAUUUUCAUUAUAACAGAUGAACACAUAAGUAGGCUACUGAGAAUUUAAGUUAUAUUAUGUCAUUUACUGCCCUUCCCUCUUUUACCACCUGUGAUCGUGUGCCCAUCCUGGGUAUGAACCAGACCAGGAAGAGGGUCCAAACCCUUCUCAACUCCUCCCAAAAGCAUUUCCCAGAGGCACUGACCUGUCACUCUUUGUUGCAGCUUCCCAUAUACCCCUUCAAAGAGACACUACAGAGCCAGCUUAUAGAGCCACAACAGAGGCUUCUGGAAUGAAUAAGGGUGUAUAAUGUUGCUGCUCUAUUUUACACACCUCUCCUGUGUUCAUCUUUUCAUUGUUCCAUAGUUGGGUUUAAGAUUUGGAUUGUUUUAAUGUAGGGUUAAUCUUAACUUCAUCUGUGCGGCACUGUGUCAUUUGUGUGUAAUCAUAUAGCAUUCACAUUUUAUUAAAAACAUUUUUAAAUCAAAAAGUACAGAAUGGUUCAUGCCUGCACAUUAAACAACACUAACAAAAAUCACAACAACCAAGAAA
Oncorhynchus tshawytscha (Chinook salmon) is the source of this 1576-nucleotide long non-coding RNA. RefSeq lists it as uncharacterized. Lineage: Eukaryota; Metazoa; Chordata; Actinopteri; Salmoniformes; Salmonidae. The record is from RefSeq and is a predicted model, not a curated record. The transcript is spliced from 3 exons.